UAGGGAAUCUUCCGCAAUGGGCGAAAGCCUGACGGAGCAACGCCGCGUGAGUGAUGAAGGUCUUCGGAUCGUAAAACUCUGUUAUUAGGGAAGAACAAAUGUGUAAGUAACUAUGCACGUCUUGACGGUACCUAAUCAGAAAGCCACGGCUAACUACGUGCCAGCAGCCGCGGUAAUACGUAGGUGGCAAGCGUUAUCCGGAAUUAUUGGGCGUAAAGCGCGCGUAGGCGGUUUUUUAAGUCUGAUGUGAAAGCCCACGGCUCAACCGUGGAGGGUCAUUGGAAACUGGAAAACUUGAGUGCAGAAGAGGAACGUGGAAUUCCAUGUGUAGCGGUGAAAUGCGCAGAGAUAUGGAGGAACACCAGUGGCGAAGGCGACUUUCUGGUCUGUAACUGACGCUGAUGUGCGCAAGCGUGGGCAUCAAACAGG
This 429-nucleotide ribosomal RNA is filed under the name Actinomycetes bacterium. RNAcentral describes it as "Actinobacteria bacterium partial 16S ribosomal RNA". It matches the Rfam family "Bacterial small subunit ribosomal RNA", at positions 355 to 776 of the family's 1533-position model. The record is from RNAcentral. Lineage: Bacteria; Bacillati; Actinomycetota; Actinomycetes.